GCACUGCUUACGAGUCUCAAAUAGAACGAAACAGCUGUCCAGUGC
RNAcentral lists this non-coding RNA (45 nucleotides) under Echinostoma caproni. The record is from RNAcentral. Lineage: Eukaryota; Metazoa; Platyhelminthes; Trematoda; Plagiorchiida; Echinostomatidae.